Molecule: long non-coding RNA, 1348 nt
Organism: Podarcis muralis (Common wall lizard)
Lineage: Eukaryota; Metazoa; Chordata; Lepidosauria; Squamata; Lacertidae
Source: Ensembl
CUUGGCACUCACGCCUCUCUUCAAGCUGCACCAUGAAGUCUGCCCUCAUGGUCUUUGUGGGGCUCCUCAUCCUUUGUGCUGAGCUGACACUGGCAGGUUCUCAGACACCAGACUGCGAGUCAGAAGGGAAGCCAGGAUACUGCCCCACACCGGAUGGUGAUGGAACAUGUGUGGAGGACUGUUCUGGAGAUGAUUCAUGUCCUGGGGACAAGAAGUGCUGCAGCAACAACUGUGGCCACACUUGCCAAACUCCACUAAACAUAAAACCCGGCGAGUGCCCCAAGUUCAAAAUCCCUCCUGGGCUGCCAUGCAAAACGGAUUGCUGCGAGGACAACCACUGCAAAGGGACCGACAAAUGCUGCCCAAUGGGAUGCAGCAAGAUUUGCGCCCCGGCAGGUUUUGAUAAGGCCUAAAGGGCAGCAGGGCCCAGAGGAGUCCAGCUGAAGGACACAGCUUCACUGCUCGCCAAAGGUGGGCUCCCAACUCAUGAGCCCAGGCAGUUCUCCCAUCAACCACCUGGAAUUUCUGCUUCUUCAAUGCUUCUGGAACAGAUGCGCCUUGAGAACAGCUGCUUCAAGUCUCACACAACUGUCUUACAGGGGGAGACUCUUGCUUUCUCUAGUAAACGUGCAUGGAACAAGCAACCAGAACUCUCCCCACAACUCCCAUUUACACUUGCAAAGUAGAAUUAUAAAUAAUUGUACCAUAUAAGGUUUCGACUCACAGAGCAUGCUCGGAGGGAAUGUGGUUGGUAACUGGAGGUGAAAUCUAAUCCUGCCAAUAAAAUUCUAGCAGACCUUUGUCUGAAGGCACAUCUAGUACGCAUGCUUCUCACUGUAGUAACUUUAGAGGAAUUACAGGGUUAAGUGCCUUAUAAGGAAAUGGGGUAAGAGGAACUGAGUACUUUGAUUGGAUAGGAAAUUUAAACUUAAUGGAAGGUGUGGAAUUUUUGCCAAAUGUAUAAAAGUGUUUGGAAUGCUGUAUCUGGCGGCCAGUUGAUUUGGAACAACAAAAGCCCUGCUGGUCCUUUCUGUACAGAAAUAAAAGACAACAGGACUCCUUCUCCACUCGCUGACUCAUGUGAUUUUGGUUAUAUCCAUGAGACAGGGCAAGCUUUGAUUGCAGCUAUUUCAUCAAUACUACCCACAACAAAUAGAACUAUUUCCCAGGCCUGGCCUCCCUUGGAAACAAGGAGAAAUGUUGGAGCCCAAAUGAAGCUUUUGACCCCAUUCAGCUGAAUCUUCUGAGUCCUAACCUUCCUUUUCUAUUUUAAAGUGUCGGGGCAGCUCCACAUUUACAAAUGGAAAAUGCCCUUUUAUUACCCCACCUGCAAAUAUGCCAACCUCAG